AAAAGUUGAAGAUAAGUUUGUUCAACGAACAAAGCGUAGGGAUCACAAUGGAGGAUAAAAUAUGUUAGGACCUUGAAAGAGACUAAAGAGGUAUAUCGAUUUUAAGUGUUUUUUAUUUUAUACUAUAUUAGUUAAUAUUUUAAAUUUAAAGAAUACAUUGAUAUUUGAAAGAUGAAAUAUAUUUAACAUUGAAAAAAUUUCAUUAAAACAUGGUCUUCGAGAGAGAAUUUAAUGCAUUUAUCUUCACAAUUGAAUAUUUUACUAAUUAAUAAUAAAUAUGAUAGUAAAUAUUAAUUUUAAUAUAUUAUUAAUUAACAAGGAUCCAUUUGACAUACAAUUAAAAUAAUAAAUAUGAUUUAAAUAAAUAAUUUAAAUUAUAUAAAUAAAAAUAAUUUAAAAUUUUAUGCAGUGUCUUAUUAAUGCUAAUAUCCCAUAUAUUAGUUUAAAACACUAGGCCCUAUUAAUACCUCUAUCUAAUAUAUUAGCCUAUUAACGCAUACUCAAGAAGCAUUAAUCUUAGUAUAAAUAAAAGAGUGAUAAGAAUUUAUAUAUAUUGCUCAAUAUUUAAUUUUAAGAAUAAGAGAGGGGAGAGAGAUUUAACGAAAAGGGAUUGCAAGAGAUCAGGAAAUAGUAUAUGAGGGAGAGAAGGGGUGAGGGGUGAGAGGUGAGAUUAACCCGUAUUUCUUUCUUUAACUCACAUGUUUUCCAUUAAAAAUAGAUUUGGGAAAUAGUAACUUGAGUGAAACAGAUAAAUUUUAUAAAUAAAAAUAUGUAUGUUUUUUUUUGGGUUGGGGGAUUUUUGUUGCGCAUAGAAAAUAAUGACCUAGAAUGUGAGAGAGAUGUGCACUUUCAAUAAGUCGUGUUUUUUCUAUUGCAUUAAGUUAAGAAGUAUAAAAUUUGUUUAAAAAGUAAGAAAGAAAGAAAUAAUUCAGAUAUAUUAUUUGUCAUAAAAAAAGACUACAUGUGACUAAAAGACUUUCAACAUUAUUUUAAAUAAAAGAAUCAAGAGGGACAAUGCAAAUGAAAAAUAGUACGAAAAGUUACCACAUAUCAUUUAUGAAUAGGUUUUAAUAAUUCAAAAUUUAUAAUGAAAAAAUAAAAGAUAUUAAAGUAUGUGAAAAAAAAAAAGAAUCAAAUUUUAUAUAUCUUGAAUCAUAUUAAAAAAAGAAAAAAUUUUAUAUAGAGCCGAGGUUCUAAACAAUCAAAUUAGAGCCCACCUAAAACAAUUUCACUAGAAGAGGUUGUUUUGAUGCCUAAAUAUCCUCAAAUUGAUUAUCUCGAUAUCAAGAAGCAUGAACAUAAGAAAAAAAUGGAUUUGAAGUUUUGGAAAUAGUGCAUCUUGUAUCACAUUUUUGGACCGUCAAUUUUCAAUAUUUUCAAUUUUUUUUAGAUUGCUCGAUCUACACUAUUUUUGAAGCGUUAAAUUUUAUAUGAAAAGACUAAUAAUAAUAAUAAUAAUAAUAAUAAUAAUAAUAAUAACAACAACAACAAUAAUUAUUAUUUUAUUGAAUUAUUUUAUUACUAUUUAUUUUAAUUUCAUAUAACUUAUUUAUUUAUGUUAUUCUUUCUUUUAGUCUUCUCUUGCUAUUUUUCAAAUGGAUUAUGUUUUUUUGGUCUCUCUAGUGGAAAAUAAUGUAUUUAUUUUAUUUUAUAAGUUACUUUUAUCUUAUUAGGUAAGGUGCAUUGAUCAUGAAUGCUAAAGAAAAAUGGUUAUUUUUUCUUCUUGAUUCUUAUAUUAAAUGAUUCUUUUAUAUGUAUUUUAAAUAUAAUUCUUAUAUUUUAAAUUUUUACAACUAUUUGAACAUUAAAUUGCUUUUGUAACUAUAAUAUUAUAUUUUUAGCAAAAAUAUGUAAUGAAGUAUGUAUAAGAGUUAAAUUUUUUUUUGGGAGAUACUUGAGUAAUUUUUUUAAAAUUAUGAAUUUUGAUCCCGUCUUCUUUAGCUUUCUCCCACAUUUUUUCAUUUCCCUAUAUCAAUCUUGAUUUUACUAUUUAAAAUAGCAUUUAAAAUUUUUUGGUCUCCCUAUAAUCGUGUUUGUCAUAAUAAUAUAUUUGAAUUAUUUAUUUCUUGCAUGGUUUUUAAAAAAUCAUAAUUAUUUCAUAACGUUAUUCAAUUGUGAGGAUAAAUUCAAUGAUCUUUAAGACCUUGUUUUAUUAAAAAUAUUUUUCAAUGAUAAAUACGUUUUAGGGUCAGUUUAGAUGUCAAAUAAAGAAACCUUGAAAAAAAUUGUAAGUUUUUUUAUCCUUAAUUCAGAAAUAUAAUCAUCUUUUUUUAUUAGUCAGCUUGACUGUUUGGAUAGCAAGUGAAAAUACUAAAAAAACAGAUUUUGUAUUCUAUCGUUCCAAAAUUAUCUUGUCAUUCCAAAAGGUUUUUCUAUAUCCCUCCCAUUAAUAACUUUGUCUCUCUAAAAGCUAAACACCUCAAAAUAUCCUGCAAAAACUCCCACCUAAAAACCCAAAAUAUCACCAGAACCAUGAAACCCAAAGACACCCACUUGAAAGUAAAGACCAUAACCCCUAAAAUCUCCUUUAAAAUAAAUAGUGGUUUUAAGUUUUCUAUUGGAGCAACACCAUUAAGUUCAGCCUUUUUUUUCUAGAGAUAUGACACUAAGGGGUCAAAUUUACAAAAAUAAAAAAAGCCUUCGAUUUGUAAAGAUAUUUACAGUACAAAACUUGAAAGAGGGUUUUGUGAGAAUUUGGGGUUAGAUAGAUGUCACUAAAGGGUCAAAUUUACAAAGAUAAAAAAAAAAAAAAAAAAUAGCCUUGAUUUGCAAAGAUAUUUACAGAAAAAAGGGAAGUAUAAAACUUAAAAGAAGGCUUUUAUCAGAAUUUGGAGUUUGUGUUAUUGAUCGCACAAGUAUUAGCUGCACCUCUCUAACUGUCAAUAUCUUGCAAUCUAGAUGAAGCCAUUACAGAGUCUUCGUUCUUAUGAUGCGUGGUGUCACUAAACCACCAGCAACACUAAAGGAGCGUCUUCUUAGAUAGAGAGAUGAAGCCAUUACAGAGUCUUCGUUCUUAUGAGCGUCUUCUUAGAUAGAGAGAUGAAGCCAUUACAGAGUCUUCGUUCUUAUGAUGCGUGGUGCCACUAAACCACUAGCAACAGUAAAGGAGCGUCUUCUUAGAUGGAGAGAUAUUUGAUAUUUGGAUAACAAGUUACACGUGCAACAUACUAGUCUCUUUUCCAAUCAACUAGAUACUAUGUUUGAUUGUAGUAGUGUUAUAUCACCAAUCAUUCAAUAAAAAAUAUGGGAUA
RNAcentral lists this long non-coding RNA (3251 nucleotides) under Amborella trichopoda. RNAcentral describes it as "long non-coding RNA (ATRI_LNC000570)". The record is from RNAcentral. Lineage: Eukaryota; Viridiplantae; Streptophyta; Magnoliopsida; Amborellales; Amborellaceae.